This 255-nucleotide ribosomal RNA is filed under the name uncultured bacterium. Its description in RNAcentral is "partial 16S ribosomal RNA". It matches the Rfam family "Bacterial small subunit ribosomal RNA", at positions 524 to 777 of the family's 1533-position model. The record is from RNAcentral.
GACAGAGGUGCCGAGCGUUAGGCGGAAUCACUGGGCUUAAAGCGUGUGUAGGCGGACGGGUAAGUACCUUGUGAAAUCCCACGGCUCAACCGUGGAACUGCAUCUGAUACUGGAUGGCUUGAGUUCGGGAGAGGGAUGCGGAAUUCCAGGUGUAGCGGUGAAAUGCGUAGAUAUCUGGAGGAACACCGGUGGCGAAGGCGGCAUCCUGGACCAAUUCUGACGCUGAGGAGCGAAAAGCCAGGGGAGCCAAACGGG